CAGAGCUUCUGUGCCUGUUCAUGUUCUUUUCCUGCCUGCAGUGGCUCUGAUAUACCCCAGAAGACUCAAUUUUUCCUCAACUUUAAAAUGUGGAAUUUUCCUGGUGUUUGGUUUUAAAUAUUCUUCUGUGAGAACUGCAACUCAAUCACUGCCGGGUUGUGUUUAAAAGACAUCUGGAAAGUAACUAGCCUUUAAACAGAAGUGAAAGAAGUUUUUACUAACUCUUCUGAUUUUGUCAUGAGUCUCGUGAUAAUUAUUGUUUUCCUUAAAGCCUCAGCUCCUGGAGUCAAGUGGAUAUGUGAUGAUUUCAGCCUUCAUUCUUAAAGAAAAAGUUGUUAAAGGAAUGAACCAUAAAGCUUAGUGAACAAUUGACAAUUGGUUUUAAGAAGUUAUGAAGAUCUGGGGAGGUAGCAGAAAACUGGACAAAAGGAAAUGUCGUAUGAGGUGUCCAAAGAGCUGUAAUUGUCCUUUCUGGGGGAGAGAGAAGUCAGCUGAGAUGUUCUGGAGUGGCUGCUGCAGUUAUUCAAGUCUACUGCUGUUUUCUUGACAAAAGAAGAAAACAAACCAAGAAAAACACAGAGGACAGAAAAGAACAGCAAAGAGAAAAGGCAGCGUCUGCCUCUGCAACCGCUUAGAUGCAGUCUCACUGCUGGAGGAGCACAGGCUUAGCACGUCUGAUCAACCACUCCUGCCCCAGCAAACGUCCUGCCUCAGCGGAGAAGGGUGAAUGAAGCAUGGGUGCAAAGAGGGAAUUCGGAAUUCCAGACUACGUGCCUAGUCGUGGCUGGGCCACCCAUGGGACUGCCUGGGGCGGCUCCUGCUCAGGGGCCUUGGCUUUAGCCCUCCUGACUCCUGGUGUUGGUCUCCAUGAGGCAGGGCCUCCUGCACCUCAAGGCUCUUUGUCCACCAUACCAAGCAGAGGGCGAGUCCUCUGAUCUUCCGGGAAGGACUCUGGCAUUACAGAGUAGCAUGUGCCUGUUGUUCAUUGUUCAUGGAGAAAAUGCGACCUCUGAUGGACUGGGAUGAAAGCGGGCUGGAUGGAAGAGGAAGGCUGAGAGUAGGUAACUCCUGUGAUUCCAGGUCCCGGUGACGUUCGAUGACGUUGAGAUCUAUUUCUCUUAGGAGGAAUGGGCUCUCUUAGAGCAGGGGCAGAAGGUGAUGUAUCAGGACAUGAUGGAGGAGAAUUAUGGUCUCCUGACCUCACUGGGUAAAGCUCAAACCUCCUUCUUUUCCUGGAUGUUGUGUGGGCUCUGAGAUGCCCAGGGCCUUUUCUAGAUGCCGGGAUGCCACUGAGGAUCAGCAGCAGCAGAAAGGAACAAGUCACU
Gopherus flavomarginatus (Mexican gopher tortoise) is the source of this 1325-nucleotide RNA transcript. RefSeq lists it as uncharacterized. The transcript has 5 exons. The record is from RefSeq and is a predicted model, not a curated record. NCBI's taxonomy places the organism in Eukaryota, Metazoa, Chordata, Testudines, Testudinidae.